Molecule: transfer RNA, 75 nt
Filed under: Blastocatellia bacterium
Lineage: Bacteria; Pseudomonadati; Acidobacteriota; Blastocatellia
Description: tRNA-Glu
Rfam family: tRNA
About the family: Transfer RNA (tRNA) molecules are approximately 80 nucleotides in length. Their secondary structure includes four short double-helical elements and three loops (D, anti-codon, and T loops).
Source: RNAcentral
GUCUCGGUCGUCUAGCCAGGCCCAGGACACCGCCCUUUCACGGCGGCGACACGGGUUCAAAUCCCGUCCGAGACG